AGAGUUUGAUCCUGGCUCAGAACGAACGCUGGCGGCGUGGAUAAGACAUGCAAGUCGAACGGGAAACACGAAUAGCUUGCUAAUUGUGUUUCUAGUGGCGAAUGGGUGAGUAUCACGUGAGCAAUCUGCCCGGAAGCGGGGCAUAGCCUGAGGAAACUCGGAUUAAUACCGCAUGACAUUCCUCCUAGCAUUAGGAGAGGAUUAAAGGUGGGGACCCUUCGGGGCCUGCCACUUCCGGAUGAGCUCGCGGCCUAUCAGCUUGUUGGUGAGGUAAUAGCUCACCAAGGCGACGACGGGUAGCUGGUCUGAGAGGAUGGUCAGCCACACUGGAACUGAGACACGGUCCAGACACCUACGGGUGGCAGCAGUCGAGAAUCAUUCGCAAUGGACGAAAGUCUGACGGUGCGACGCCGCGUGGAGGAUGACGGUCUUCGGAUUGUAAACUCCUGUCAUCAGGGAGUAAUGUUGUAUUGGUUAAUAACCUUUACAGUUGAUAGUACCUGAAGAGGAAGAGACGGCUAACUCUGUGCCAGCAGCCGCGGUAAUACAGAGGUCUCAAGCGUUGUUCGGAUUUACUGGGCGUAAAGCGUGCGUAGGCGGCGAGGUAAGUCAGAUGUGAAAGCUCAGGGCUCAACCCUGAAAUUGCAUCCGAUACUGCCUUGCUAGAGUAAUGGAGGGGAGUCUGGAAUUCAUGGUGUA
RNAcentral lists this ribosomal RNA (699 nucleotides) under uncultured bacterium. RNAcentral describes it as "bacterial SSU rRNA". It matches the Rfam family "Bacterial small subunit ribosomal RNA", at positions 8 to 677 of the family's 1533-position model. The record is from RNAcentral.